AAAAAUAAUUUCAAUGAUUUAUUGCAGAUUAUUAUUUAAUAUUUUCGAGAAAUCAGAUUCAUAUUAAUUUGAUUAUCAAAAUAGAAUAGCAAUUUAUAUUUUCGUUGAAAAAUUACAACGGAAUUAAAAGAACAACGAAAUGAUGAAACAAUAAACAAACAUUUAAAUACAUUUAAAUAAUUCUUCUAUAUAAUGCAUUAUUAAUUGAAUCACGAAUCAAGAACAAUGUUUUUAUAUUAUUAAUAAUUAUAGCGCGCAUUUCUCCUUUUCGAUGCAACAAAUUCGAAUUUUUAAAAUAAUGUUCCAUCUUGAAAUUCAUGAAAAUUCACCGUAAGUAUUUAUUGGUAUAUCUGAGAUGAUAGAAUCAAUGAUGAUUGAGUGUUUCCUCUAUGAAAAUAUCGUGAAGAAUAGCGUCGUGCUGUUCAAAACGUUCGUCGUUCAAGAAUCAUAUCCUACAUACGGAUUUAUAAAAGUCAUCUAUGAGACAUCAUAAUGCGAUCGUGCAACGGGAAAAAACAUUUCGAUCAAGAAAUCAGAAAGGUUUCACAACUGCGUCGUGAAAAAAAACACUUGUAGAAAAAAUAAAUUCGAUUCACAAACCUGGAUUUGGGCGCGUUUAACCUCGGUGUAGAGCCAGUUGUCUGUAGAAAAGGCGAUUGCCAAGAGGCCAGUGGCAAUGAUACCGGUUAUGGUCGCGAGAGACAGCGUCACCGCAGAACAAGGCAUUUUGGUAACCUCUUCUUCUUCUUCUUUUUUUCCUUUUCUAUUUUUCGUCGAUUUUCCUUCUAGAUUCCACUCUGAUCAAGCGUUACAUUCACCUCACACGUACGACACCACUGUAAGCUAGAUAGAUAUUGAGGAACAAGUAGUCGUUGUCGCCCUCAAGACUAUCGAGCAUCCGUGAAAAAGUGAAUCACGAAACAGAUCACGAACCAUUCAGAACGAAUUGGUCCAAAUGAGAAAGCUUUCAAUUCAAUGACCGAAUUUGAUAACCCGAUAUAUGAAGAGGAAAC
This is a long non-coding RNA of Apis mellifera (honey bee), 1013 nucleotides long. RefSeq lists it as uncharacterized. The transcript is spliced from 2 exons. Lineage: Eukaryota; Metazoa; Arthropoda; Insecta; Hymenoptera; Apidae. The record is from RefSeq and is a predicted model, not a curated record.